AAGGAUCAUUAGUGAAUAA
Molecule: ribosomal RNA, 19 nt
Filed under: Sporobolomyces koalae
Lineage: Eukaryota; Fungi; Basidiomycota; Microbotryomycetes; Sporidiobolales; Sporidiobolaceae
Description: partial 18S ribosomal RNA
Source: RNAcentral